ACUCCUGCGGGAGGCAGCAGUGGGGAAUAUUGCACAAUGGGCGCAAGCCUGAUGCAGCCAUGCCGCGUGUAUGAAGAAGGCCUUCGGGUUGUAAAGUACUUUCAGCGGGGAGGAAGGCGAUAAGGUUAAUAACCUUGUCGAUUGACGUUACCCGCAGAAGAAGCACCGGCUAACUCCGUGCCAGCAGCCGCGGUAAUACGGAGGGUGCAAGCGUUAAUCGGAAUUACUGGGCGUAAAGCGCACGCAGGCGGUCUGUCAAGUCGGAUGUGAAAUCCCCGGGCUCAACCUGGGAACUGCAUUCGAAACUGGCAGGCUAGAGUCUUGUAGAGGGGGGUAGAAUUCCAGGUGUAGCGGUGAAAUGCGUAGAGAUCUGGAGGAAUACCGGUGGCGAAGGCGGCCCCCUGGACAAAGACUGACGCUCAGGUGCGAAAGCGUGGGGAGCAAACAGGAUUAGAAACCCUAGUAGUCC
This 469-nucleotide ribosomal RNA is filed under the name uncultured organism. RNAcentral's name for it is "partial 16S ribosomal RNA". It matches the Rfam family "Bacterial small subunit ribosomal RNA", at positions 335 to 796 of the family's 1533-position model. The record is from RNAcentral.